GNGAGGAUAUUGGUCAAUGGGCGCUAGCCUGACCAGCCAUGCCGCGUGCAGGAAGACGGCCCUAUGGGUUGUAAACUGCUUUUCUGCGGGAAGAAUUCCGUGUAUUCGUUACAGGGUUGACGGUACCGCAGGAAUAAGCAUCGGCUAACUCCGUGCCAGCAGCCGCGGUAAUACGGAGGAUGCAAGCGUUAUCCGGAUUCAUUGGGUUUAAAGGGUGCGCAGGCGGUGGAGCAAGUCAGUGGUGAAAGCCCGAAGCUCAACUUCGGGAUUGCCAUUGAAACUGUUUCACUUGAGUGUAGUCGAGGACGGCGGAAUGAGUUGUGUAGCGGUGAAAUGCAUAGAUAUAACUCAGAACACCGAUUGCGAAGGCAGCUGUCUAGACUAUAACUGACGCUGAGGCACGAAAGCGUGGGGAGCGAACAGGAUUAGAUACCCUGGNAGNCCACGCANNAAACGAUGAUCACUCGNUGNNNGNCUACU
This 480-nucleotide ribosomal RNA is filed under the name uncultured Bacteroidota bacterium. Its description in RNAcentral is "uncultured Bacteroidetes bacterium partial 16S ribosomal RNA". It matches the Rfam family "Bacterial small subunit ribosomal RNA", at positions 355 to 832 of the family's 1533-position model. Lineage: Bacteria; Pseudomonadati; Bacteroidota. The record is from RNAcentral.